ACAUAUACAUACAUAUAUACAUACAUACAUAUAUAUAUAUAUAUAUAUAUAUAUGUAUGUGUGUGUGUGUGUGUGUGU
This 78-nucleotide microRNA precursor is filed under the name Podarcis lilfordi (Lilford's wall lizard). The record is from RNAcentral. Lineage: Eukaryota; Metazoa; Chordata; Lepidosauria; Squamata; Lacertidae.